Molecule: transfer RNA, 85 nt
Filed under: Salvia splendens (bonfire salvia)
Lineage: Eukaryota; Viridiplantae; Streptophyta; Magnoliopsida; Lamiales; Lamiaceae
Rfam family: tRNA
About the family: Transfer RNA (tRNA) molecules are approximately 80 nucleotides in length. Their secondary structure includes four short double-helical elements and three loops (D, anti-codon, and T loops). Further hydrogen bonds mediate the characteristic L-shaped molecular structure. tRNAs have two regions of fundamental functional importance: the anti-codon, which is responsible for specific mRNA codon recognition, and the 3' end, to which the tRNAs corresponding amino acid is attached (by aminoacyl-tRNA synthetases). tRNAs cope with the degeneracy of the genetic code in two manners: having more than one tRNA (with a specific anti-codon) for a particular amino acid; and 'wobble' base-pairing, i.e. permitting non-standard base-pairing at the 3rd anti-codon position.
Source: Rfam by way of RNAcentral
CCGACCUUAGCUCAAUUGGUAGAGUGGAGGACUGUAGUAUGAUACCUAAAUCCCUAGGUCACUGGUUAGAUUACGUUAGGUCGGA